GGGUUGUGAGGUUAAGCGACUAAGCGUACACGGUGGAUGCCCUGGCAGUCAGAGGCGAUGAAGGACGUGCUAAUCUGCGAUAAGCGUCGGUGAGGUGAUAUGAACCGUUAUAACCGGCGAUUUCCGAAUGGGGAAACCCAGUGUGUUUCGACACACUAUCAUUAACUGAAUCCAUAGGUUAAUGAGGCGAACCGGGGGAACUGAAACAUCUAAGUACCCCGAGGAAAAGAAAUCAACCGAGAUUCCCCCAGUAGCGGCGAGCGAACGGGGAGCAGCCCAGAGCCUGAAUCAGUGUGUGUGUUAGUGGAAGCGUCUGGAAAGGCGCGCGAUACAGGGUGACAGCCCCGUACACAAAAAUGCACAUGCUGUGAGCUCGAUGAGUAGGGCGGGACACGUGGUAUCCUGUCUGAAUAUGGGGGGACCAUCCUCCAAGGCUAAAUACUCCUGACUGACCGAUAGUGAACCAGUACCGUGAGGGAAAGGCGAAAAGAACCCCGGCGAGGGGAGUGAAAAAGAACCUGAAACCGUGUACGUACAAGCAGUGGGAGCCUCUUUAUGGGGUGACUGCGUACCUUUUGUAUAAUGGGUCAGCGACUUAUAUUCUGUAGCAAGGUUAACCGAAUAGGGGAGCCGAAGGGAAACCGAGUCUUAACUGGGCGUUAAGUUGCAGGGUAUAGACCCGAAACCCGGUGAUCUAGCCAUGGGCAGGUUGAAGGUUGGGUAACACUAACUGGAGGACCGAACCGACUAAUGUUGAAAAAUUAGCGGAUGACUUGUGGCUGGGGGUGAAAGGCCAAUCAAACCGGGAGAUAGCUGGUUCUCCCCGAAAGCUAUUUAGGUAGCGCCUCGUGAAUUCAUCUCCGGGGGUAGAGCACUGUUUCGGCAAGGGGGUCAUCCCGACUUACCAACCCGAUGCAAACUGCGAAUACCGGAGAAUGUUAUCACGGGAGACACACGGCGGGUGCUAACGUCCGUCGUGAAGAGGGAAACAACCCAGACCGCCAGCUAAGGUCCCAAAGUCAUGGUUAAGUGGGAAACGAUGUGGGAAGGCCCAGACAGCCAGGAUGUUGGCUUAGAAGCAGCCAUCAUUUAAAGAAAGCGUAAUAGCUCACUGGUCGAGUCGGCCUGCGCGGAAGAUGUAACGGGGCUAAACCAUGCACCGAAGCUGCGGCAGCGACACUAUGUGUUGUUGGGUAGGGGAGCGUUCUGUAAGCCUGUGAAGGUGUACUGUGAGGUAUGCUGGAGGUAUCAGAAGUGCGAAUGCUGACAUAAGUAACGAUAAAGCGGGUGAAAAGCCCGCUCGCCGGAAGACCAAGGGUUCCUGUCCAACGUUAAUCGGGGCAGGGUGAGUCGACCCCUAAGGCGAGGCCGAAAGGCGUAGUCGAUGGGAAACAGGUUAAUAUUCCUGUACUUGGUGUUACUGCGAAGGGGGGACGGAGAAGGCUAUGUUGGCCGGGCGACGGUUGUCCCGGUUUAAGCGUGUAGGCUGGUUUUCCAGGCAAAUCCGGAAAAUCAAGGCUGAGGCGUGAUGACGAGGCACUACGGUGCUGAAGCAACAAAUGCCCUGCUUCCAGGAAAAGCCUCUAAGCAUCAGGUAACAUCAAAUCGUACCCCAAACCGACACAGGUGGUCAGGUAGAGAAUACCAAGGCGCUUGAGAGAACUCGGGUGAAGGAACUAGGCAAAAUGGUGCCGUAACUUCGGGAGAAGGCACGCUGAUAUGUAGGUGAAGCGACUUGCUCGUGGAGCUGAAAUCAGUCGAAGAUACCAGCUGGCUGCAACUGUUUAUUAAAAACACAGCACUGUGCAAACACGAAAGUGGACGUAUACGGUGUGACGCCUGCCCGGUGCCGGAAGGUUAAUUGAUGGGGUUAGCGGUAACGCGAAGCUCUUGAUCGAAGCCCCGGUAAACGGCGGCCGUAACUAUAACGGUCCUAAGGUAGCGAAAUUCCUUGUCGGGUAAGUUCCGACCUGCACGAAUGGCGUAAUGAUGGCCAGGCUGUCUCCACCCGAGACUCAGUGAAAUUGAACUCGCUGUGAAGAUGCAGUGUACCCGCGGCAAGACGGAAAGACCCCGUGAACCUUUACUAUAGCUUGACACUGAACAUUGAGCCUUGAUGUGUAGGAUAGGUGGGAGGCUUUGAAGUGUGGACGCCAGUCUGCAUGGAGCCGGCCUUGAAAUACCACCCUUUAAUGUUUGAUGUUCUAACGUUGGCCCCUGAUCGGGGUUGCGGACAGUGUCUGGUGGGUAGUUUGACUGGGGCGGUCUCCUCCUAAAGAGUAACGGAGGAGCACGAAGGUUGGCUAAUCCUGGUCGGACAUCAGGAGGUUAGUGCAAUGGCAUAAGCCAGCUUGACUGCGAGCGUGACGGCGCGAGCAGGUGCGAAAGCAGGUCAUAGUGAUCCGGUGGUUCUGAAUGGAAGGGCCAUCGCUCAACGGAUAAAAGGUACUCCGGGGAUAACAGGCUGAUACCGCCCAAGAGUUCAUAUCGACGGCGGUGUUUGGCACCUCGAUGUCGGCUCAUCACAUCCUGGGGCUGAAGUAGGUCCCAAGGGUAUGGCUGUUCGCCAUUUAAAGUGGUACGCGAGCUGGGUUUAGAACGUCGUGAGACAGUUCGGUCCCUAUCUGCCGUGGGCGCUGGAGAACUGAGGGGGGCUGCUCCUAGUACGAGAGGACCGGAGUGGACGCAUCACUGGUGUUCGGGUUGUCAUGCCAAUGGCACUGCCCGGUAGCUAAAUGCGGAAGAGAUAAGUGCUGAAAGCAUCUAAGCACGAAACUUGCCCCGAGAUGAGUUCUCCCUGACUCCUUGAGAGUCCUGAAGGAACGUUGAAGACGACGACGUUGAUAGGCCGGGUGUGUAAGCGCAGCGAUGCGUUGAGCUAACCGGUACUAAUGAACCGUGAGGCUUAACCUUACAACGCCGAAG
This 2925-nucleotide ribosomal RNA is filed under the name Escherichia coli. RNAcentral's name for it is "bacterial LSU rRNA". It matches the Rfam family "Bacterial large subunit ribosomal RNA". The record is from RNAcentral. Lineage: Bacteria; Pseudomonadati; Pseudomonadota; Gammaproteobacteria; Enterobacterales; Enterobacteriaceae.